Molecule: ribosomal RNA, 253 nt
Filed under: uncultured bacterium
Lineage: Bacteria
Description: partial 16S ribosomal RNA
Rfam family: Bacterial small subunit ribosomal RNA
Source: RNAcentral
UACGUAGGUGGCAAGCGUUGUUCGGAAUAACUGGGCGUAAAGGAUGCGUAGGCGGUUAAACAAGUUAUAUGUUAAAUAUAUAGGCUUAACCUGUAGAAAGCAUAUAAAACUGUUUAACUAGAGUGCAGGAGAGGUAAGUGGAAUUCCUAGUGUAGCGAUGAAAUGCGUAGAGAUUAGGAAGAACACCAGUGGCGAAGGCGACUUACUGGACUGUAACUGACGCUGAGGCAUGAGAGCAUGGGGAGCAAACAGG